This 460-nucleotide ribosomal RNA is filed under the name uncultured bacterium. Its description in RNAcentral is "partial 16S ribosomal RNA". It matches the Rfam family "Bacterial small subunit ribosomal RNA", at positions 338 to 795 of the family's 1533-position model. The record is from RNAcentral.
CCUACGGGAGGCAGCAGUGAGGAAUAUUGGUCAAUGGGCGGAAGCCUGAACCAGCCAAGUAGCGUGCAGGAUGACGGCCCUACGGGUUGUAAACUGCUUUUAUACGGGAAUAACGCGCCUUACGUGUAGGGCUUUGCAUGUACCGUAUGAAUAAGGACCGGCUAAUUCCGUGCCAGCAGCCGCGGUAAUACGGAAGGUCCGGGCGUUAUCCGGAUUUAUUGGGUUUAAAGGGAGCGUAGGCCGCAUGUCAAGCGUGCUGUGAAAUGUCCGGGCUCAACCCGGGCCUUGCAGCGCGAACUGGGGUGCUUGAGUCCGGGGAAAGCAGGCGGAAUUCGUCGUGUAGCGGUGAAAUGCUUAGAUAUGACGAAGAACCGCGAUUGCGAAGGCAGCUUGCUGCAGCGGAACUGACGCUGAUGCUCGAAAGCGCGGGUAUCGAACAGGAUUAGAUACCCGGGUAGUC